CACACAACAGUUUACAGUACUCGAAUUAGAGUAUCUGUUAAAAAUGGGAGAUACAUUAAUUUUUCCAUUAUUUUUAUUAAUACUGGGAAUUAUUAUUUCAUAUUAUCUAGUUAAAUGUUAUUUACGGGGACUUCGGACUAUGUUCAUUUUCAUGGUCACUUGUUUGGCUGCUUUGUUCAUAUUUUUUAAUAUUCGAAUGAUGUGAUGUUUAUUCAGCCAUGUAUCAGCAGUGUUUAAUCUCGAUGGUUAGAUUUCAACAGGAGCGUGACAAUAAAUCAGAAGGACCCAAUUUCUUCUGCACGUCUACACUUUCUCCAAACUCCCAAAAUGGGUUGCAUGAAAUGUUUAUCAACAUGGUGAUUUACAGCUUAAG
Mercenaria mercenaria is the source of this 373-nucleotide long non-coding RNA. RefSeq lists it as uncharacterized. The record is from RefSeq and is a predicted model, not a curated record. NCBI's taxonomy places the organism in Eukaryota, Metazoa, Mollusca, Bivalvia, Venerida, Veneridae. The transcript has 3 exons.